CGUGGCUCCCGUGGCCUUCUCCGCGUUGACCAAAGCCGCUAGAGGACCCACCCUCGAUCUUUCCCCAAAUCGUCAUUGUCCAUAGUGGAUCAAUCCAAACGACCCCACACUCCAGGUCCAAAACAACGGACCACAAUCAAUGGGUCCAGGAUGCUCAAAAGGUUUCAAACAAUGAAAGUCCUCGUUGAUCAAGUGGGAAAGAUCGAAAUUGAAAGCAAUGAAACCGUCGAGUGUUUCAAGGCAAAAGUUGACACUGAACAUGGCUUUCUUGGUCCAAUGCAGAGAUUGUAUAAAGAUCAAACACUGCUUCAAGAUGGGUAUGCUUUGAGCGAUUAUGACGUUUCUUCUGGAGACAUCUUGAUCAUGAAAUUGGAAACGCUUAAAGGGGUGAAAGUAGCCUUAGUCGGAAUCUCUCCAUCUCCAGCUGCUUAGGGAGGGGAAGAAUCGGACCAAGGAUCAAGUUUCUGUGGGUGUGGUAGAGAGCCAGAACCAGCAAGCCUUCCUCCUCCUGAUGAUCCAGAUAAGAAGAAAAAGAAGUAUUCCCCAUCUUACCUUGAGAAGAUGGGAAUUUGGAAGAAGAAAUAGAGCCAACGCCAAGUUUUCAUUAUAAUGAUGCAUCUUUUCAUACUUGUUCUGAAAUGAUCCAGAUUUGCUGAGACUUCACUUGGUCAACUUUUGUGGCGCUUUAUGUAAUUUUAUUAUCCUAAUAAACAAACGCCCAUAUCA
This is a long non-coding RNA of Tigriopus californicus, 726 nucleotides long. RefSeq lists it as uncharacterized. The transcript is spliced from 2 exons. Lineage: Eukaryota; Metazoa; Arthropoda; Copepoda; Harpacticoida; Harpacticidae. The record is from RefSeq and is a predicted model, not a curated record.